CCCAAGGGUCAGCAGGGUCAGCGAAAGGUUGCCUAAGAAGUUACCAUCAGUCCUUAGAGUCUGGAAAAUGAUGCAACACCAAACAAAACAAAACAGAAAGAACACCUCAAAUGCUACAAGUAUCUGGAAUAGGAGCAUCUGAUCAUGGGUCAUCCAGUGAGCAGUCAGGGACUAGGGCAGUAAGAGAUCAUUGUUAAGGAGAUUUGAGUAAAAAAAAAAUGGUGAUUGAACCCAGGUCCUCUAGCAUGUUUAUUACCACUGAGCUACAUCUACAUCUCUUUCUGAUUCUUUUGCUUAUUUACUAUACCGCAAGGGAAACAUGGAAUCUAGAUAAGGAUAUCAAUGUUUUUUGAAGAUUCUAAUGACUCCCUUGUAUUGUGUCUUCUCAAGAAGUAAGGGACCUGAAUGGUGAUGGCUGGGUAGAAUGCUAAAUGUAUGUAAGUGGAUCUCUAUAGUAUCUAAAAAGAUGUUGC
This is a non-coding RNA of Ictidomys tridecemlineatus (thirteen-lined ground squirrel), 473 nucleotides long. Lineage: Eukaryota; Metazoa; Chordata; Mammalia; Rodentia; Sciuridae. The record is from RefSeq and is a predicted model, not a curated record.